RNAcentral lists this ribosomal RNA (229 nucleotides) under uncultured bacterium. RNAcentral describes it as "partial 16S ribosomal RNA". It matches the Rfam family "Bacterial small subunit ribosomal RNA", at positions 107 to 334 of the family's 1533-position model. The record is from RNAcentral.
UGAGUAACGCGUGAGGAACCUGCCUCAAAGAGGGGGACAACAGUUGGAAACGACUGCUAAUACCGCAUAAGCCCACGGCUCGGCAUCGAGCAGAGGGAAAAGGAGCAAUCCGCUUUGAGAUGGCCUCGCGUCCGAUUAGCUAGUUGGUGAGGUAACGGCCCACCAAGGCGACGAUCGGUAGCCGGACUGGGAGGUUGAACGGCCACAUUGGGACUGAGACACGGCCCAG